RNAcentral lists this unclassified non-coding RNA (213 nucleotides) under plant metagenome. RNAcentral describes it as "partial contains small subunit ribosomal RNA, internal transcribed spacer 1, and 5.8S ribosomal RNA". The record is from RNAcentral.
UCUCCGUAGGUGAACCUGCGGAAGGAUCAUUCACAAUAAGUGAAUUAUGGAACUUUUUUAAAUCUACAUCCACGUUGUCUGCAAUGUAUAGGUUGAUUUUUCUCACGAGAGGAUCAGCCCCAAACAUCAACUAUAUUACAACUCUUUGUUUGAAAAAUAUUAUGAAUAAAACAAUUCAAAAUACAACUUUCAACAACGGAUCUCUUGGCUCGC